GUGAGGUGAUGACACUGUUUAUCCAUUCUCUGAGUGCAGUGGCAGCGCUGCCCUCCUGCAGCACCCAGCUCCUGUUCUAGGCUACUGGGUGCUGUGCAGCCUCCAGACAUCCUGCAGUGUCCUGCUGGGGACUGCUGUGAUGUGUGGCUGGCUGCCUGCAGGAGGGGAACAGUGCUGGCAGGGUUGGAGCCCCUCUUUGGGGGCUCCAGCCUCACUGGGACGAGGGAUGACGUCUGAUCAU
Molecule: small nucleolar RNA, 241 nt
Filed under: Serinus canaria (Common canary)
Lineage: Eukaryota; Metazoa; Chordata; Aves; Passeriformes; Fringillidae
Description: Small nucleolar RNA SNORD17 (ENSSCAG00000016984.1)
Rfam family: Small nucleolar RNA SNORD17
About the family: The snoRNA HBI-43 belongs to the C/D family of snoRNAs, guiding 2'O-ribose methylation at position U3797 of the 28S rRNA. Pseudouridylation in position U3797 is predicted to be guided by the H/ACA snoRNA ACA48.
Source: Rfam by way of RNAcentral